GCUGGGCGUGGUGGCGGGCACCUGUAAUCCCAGCUACUCGGGAGGCUGAGGCAGGAGAAUCACUUGAACCCAGGAGGUGGAGGUUACAGUGAGCCAAGAUUACAAAUACACCACUGCACUCCAGCCUGGGUGACAGAGUGAGAUUCUGUCUCAA
RNAcentral lists this non-coding RNA (154 nucleotides) under Homo sapiens (human). The record is from Rfam by way of RNAcentral. Lineage: Eukaryota; Metazoa; Chordata; Mammalia; Primates; Hominidae.